UACGGAGGGUGCAAGCGUUAUCCGGAUUCACUGGGGUUAAAGGGUGCGUAGGAGGGCAGGUAAGUCAGUGGUGAAAUCUCCAAGCUUAACUUGGAAACUGCCGUUGAUACUAUCUGUCUUGAAUAUUGUGGAGGUGAGCGGAAUAUGUCAUGUAGCGGUGAAAUGCUUAGAUAUGACAUAGAACACCAAUUGCGAAGGCAGCUCACUACACAAUCAUUGACUCUGAGGCACGAAAGCGUGGGGAUCAAACAGG
This 253-nucleotide ribosomal RNA is filed under the name uncultured bacterium. RNAcentral describes it as "partial 16S ribosomal RNA". It matches the Rfam family "Bacterial small subunit ribosomal RNA", at positions 524 to 776 of the family's 1533-position model. The record is from RNAcentral.